CAUUAUCCAUCUCAAACCAGGUGCGGUCGCGGCCCCCGGGGGCUUGCUCCCGGGUGGUAGGGGUAACACCCUCACGCGCCGCCUGCCUGUACCCUCUUUUUACGAGCACCUUUCGUUCUCCUUCGGCGGGGCAACCUGCCGCUGGAACCAAAACAAAACCUUUUUUGCAUCUAGCAUUACCUGUUCUGAUACAAAUAAUCGUUACAACUUUCAACAAUGGAUCUCUUGGCUCUGGCAUCGAUGAAGAACGCAGCGAAAUGCGAUAAGUAGUGUGAAUUGCAGAAUUCAGUGAAUCAUCGAAUCUUUGAACGCACAUUGCGCCCCUUGGUAUUCCAUGGGGCAUGCCUGUUCGAGCGUCAUCUACACCCUCAAGCUCUGCUUGGUGUUGGGCGUCUGUCCCGCCUCUGCGCGCGGACUCGCCCCAAAUUCAUUGGCAGCGGUCUUUGCCUCCUCUCGCGCAGCACAAUUGCGUCUGCGGGGGGGCGUGGCCCGCGUCCACGAAGCAACAUUACCGUCUUUGACCUCGGAUCAGGUAGGGAUACCCGCUGAACUUAAGCAUAUCAAUAAGCGGAGGAAAAGAAACCAACAGGGAUUGCCCUAGUAACGGCGAGUGAAGCGGCAACAGCUCAAAUUUGAAAUCUGGCUCUCUUUGGGGGUCCGAGUUGUAAUUUUGCAGAGGAUGCUUUGGCAUUGGCGGCGGUCUAAGUUCCUUGGAACAGGACAUCACAGAGGGUGAGAAUCCCGUACGUGGUCGCC
Molecule: ribosomal RNA, 756 nt
Filed under: fungal sp.
Lineage: Eukaryota; Fungi
Description: eukaryotic LSU rRNA
Rfam family: Eukaryotic large subunit ribosomal RNA (bases 519-756)
Source: RNAcentral